RNAcentral lists this ribosomal RNA (253 nucleotides) under uncultured bacterium. RNAcentral describes it as "partial 16S ribosomal RNA". It matches the Rfam family "Bacterial small subunit ribosomal RNA", at positions 524 to 776 of the family's 1533-position model. The record is from RNAcentral.
UACGUAGGGUGCAAGCGUUGUCCGGAAUUAUUGGGCGUAAAGAGCUCGUAGGCGGUCUGUCGCGUCGGCUGUGAAAACCUGGGGCUUAACUCCGGGCUUGCAGCCGAUACGGGCAGACUAGAGUUCGGCAGGGGAGACUGGAAUUCCUGGUGUAGCGGUGAAAUGCGCAGAUAUCAGGAAGAACACCGAUGGCGAAGGCAGAUCUCUGGGCCGUAACUGACGCUGAGGAGCGAAAGCAUGGGGAGCGAACAGG